CCUACGGGUGGCUGCAGUGGGGAAUUUUGGACAAUGGGGGCAACCCUGAUCCAGCCAUGCCGCGUGCGGGAAGAAGGCCUUCGGGUUGUAAACCGCUUUUGUCAGGAGAGAAAUCUCUUGGGCUAAUACCCUGAGAGGAUGACGGUACCUGAAGAAUAAGCACCGGCUAACUACGUGCCAGCAGCCGCGGUAAUACGUAGGGUGCAAGCGUUAAUCGGAAUUAGCGGGGGCGAUUCGUGAGGACACGUGUGAACUCCCCGGGCUUAACCUGGGACCUGCACUUUUGACUGCACGGCUAGAGUACGGCAGAGGGGGAUGGAAUUCCGCGUGUAGCAGUGAAAUGCGUAGAUAUGCGGAGGAACACCGAUGGCGAAGGCAGUCCCCUGGGCCUGUACUGACGCUCAUGCACGAAAGCGUGGGGAGCAAACAGGAUUAGAUACCCGUGUAGUC
Molecule: ribosomal RNA, 450 nt
Filed under: uncultured bacterium
Lineage: Bacteria
Description: partial 16S ribosomal RNA
Rfam family: Bacterial small subunit ribosomal RNA
Source: RNAcentral